This is a long non-coding RNA of Apteryx rowi (Okarito brown kiwi), 1836 nucleotides long. NCBI's taxonomy places the organism in Eukaryota, Metazoa, Chordata, Aves, Apterygiformes, Apterygidae. The record is from Ensembl.
AGAUGCAGUACAGUGGAGAAGAGAGGGAAAAAUUGCUCCUGUGAUGAAAUAAAAAUUGUGCUUAAGAGAUAUUUGCUUUUGCCCUACAGGUUAUGAAUCUGCAUGACUUCCUGAGAACUUUUCUGAGCAUGUGGUGUUGUGGGUCAUGACUGCCUGGGCAGUGGUGCACAACUUGUCUGCCAAGACUACGCAACAGCUGACAGCUGCCUGUGGAAUGAAAGCAAAGGCCAACUUCUCAGAGUGCUCUGGAAUUGCCUUGGCAAAUAAUGGAAUUUGAGGAAGUAAAGCUACCCAGGAAGAUUUAUUGCUGCCUUUGGAGAAGCAAAGGCCAUUCCUUAAUGUAAGAGCAAGGGGAUGGCUCAAGCUGGAGUUGUGAGCAUUCCAGAAAGCUGCUUAUGGCAGGCAGUUUUUUUCUUGGUAUUGUUUUCUGGUGUUUCUGUGUUUACUGUGGAAGGGAUGGAGCUUCAUCACUGGACUCUUCCAAGAYGAUYGCACUUGMGGAGUUGUUUGUCCCUCUCCUGGRCYGCAGACAAGAGGACACAGCAGAGGUCCUGGGAAAACAUUUCCUCCUACAUUUACACCCUAGGUAUGUGGGGGUUUUUUUGUUGUUUUUUUGUAGCAUCUGCAGCAAUUGCGGGGGGUGUGAGGUAUCACUCUCAUCAACUAGUCUGGUUUCUGGCUCGCUUGCUGGAUGUUUUGCUGCUCCUCAGAAAUAUUGUCAGCCCUGUUCAGGGAGAAACUGUGUGGAUUUUUUGUGGUAUGUAGACUUGCAGAAAAGUCCCAACUUGAUCUGGAGAGGGAAGGAAGCAUCCUCCUUCCCUUCAAGUGCAGUAUGAUGAGAAAGGAAGUCAUGUCAUUAGACACCAAAUGCAACUGUGAGUAAGCCCAUGUGCCCCAAGGGCUCAGAAACUAACCUACACACAACUAACGAGCUCACCUCUUUUCCUGGCCAAGCCUCAGCACUGAGAGGGAAGAAACUGCUGGACUUCUCUGGACCACAAGGAAACCAUUGGCAGUCUUGCCUGCCAGCUCCUCUGUUAUAUCCGUGCCCCUGAACCCACUGCCACGUGCUCUUUUGUGGCUCUGCUUCUGACCCCUACCCUGGCUUCUGGGGCUGUAUGCUUUGCUUUUUGAGGUAGUGUGCGGGCCUUUUCCAGGAGUGGUUGAGGAUUUCAGGUGAGGUAGAAUGGGUGAUCAGAAUGGUGUUUCAGUUGUUCUAGGGCCAGUCAGUGCUGCCUGGCAGCAUAGAAACUUUGUUUUGGUUUUCCAGGUGCCAUGGGCGUCCCCCCAGCCCCAAUGUCUGAGUUUGGAAUUGGCACGGUGAAGGUGAGCAGAGUGCCCAUGGGGCUUUGACAUAGGGUGCUCUUGCAGACGAGGCUGGAGCUGACUGGCCUGGGGGGUGACUGCUUGCRCUCUGGUUUGGCAGGUGAKGAYGGCAAAUGAGGUGACUGGAGGAAGAUCAGAGAGGAUGUGGCUGCCAUUGAGGAUGCCUCUUGAGGACAAAUGCUGACCUAGAGCACUGCAGAAGCUAAGUUGAGGGGCAAAGGGUGUUGAUGUGUCUUGUCUGUGUGUGCGCUGACAAAGUGUAGUAUGGGCUCUUCCGGAUGAGUGCUGUGUGUGAGGCAGAGACAGAGAGUGUGCUUGGCAGAAGGUGAGUGUGUGCUAGGCAGGGCAGCUCCAGCCUGUCUGUGUUGUUGCGUAGUCUGUGGUGUGUGUUGUAGUUGUGCUACCUUUUGCUCAGGUCUUGACGCUGCUCUGCUCCUUUGUGCUCAAGGAGCACAGCCCACACUGUACAGCACUAGUGCGGUAGGCAUCUGUUGUCUUUUGCUUGGCCUG